UGCUCCUUACUUUGUAGGAAAUAGUUGUUUUUUCUUAUCUAAUAGAAAUUCUAAAAAUCCCACGACCAAUUUCGAUUCACGAACCCAAAUUCUUAAAUUCUCCCCUAGGUUUGGUAUCAAAAUAGAAUCCCUUUUUUUUAUAAAUAACGGUUUCAUUUUCAAUUCCCUUCCAUUUUGAAUUUAAACUUAAGUUUUUGCCAGUUUUUUUAUAACCAAUAGGUGUCUGGGUUAACUUGCGCGCAAUUCAACUAGUUCGAUAGGAUAGCUUCCACUUCCCACCCACCAUCAACACAGGUAUCAUAAUUUUUUUUCCAACUUUUAGCAUCUGGAUUUUGUAUUUUUAAAUAGGAAAUUUGAGUUUUGGUCAGCUUUUAGCUGCUGGGUUUUGUUUUAUUGGGUCCUAUUUCUACUUUUGGAGCUCUUCUUCUAUGGUGAUUGGAAGUUUUAAAUUCUAACCAGGUAUGUGCUUGUCUAAGUACUCCUUGCUGUUUUCUUGGAUGUUAAAAUGCUGAAGGAAAUUGACGUUUUUUUUGCUCAUUUCUUUGCAACGAAAUAGCCCAUAUGGAGCCAAAUGGAUUUUUGGAGAUUCAUAAAGCUUCCUUGUUCCUGAAAAAAACAUAGUUUACUUGAUGGUGGAGUAUUUCUUGUUUGAUUAAGGUCUUUUAUGGCAUCUGAAAUAGAAUCAAAUAUUAUUAUUUGAUAUCUAGUUAGAAUUAUGCAGGUAAUAGUAAUGCAAGUUUCAGGUAUGAAGAUAUUAGUUAUUCCAUUUUCUACUCUGCAUAAGAUAAAAACACACAAAUUCCUUCAUGACUUAUACAUGUAUAGUUAUGUGGAUUUCUAAAUUGCAAAUCAAAUGUUGUAUUGAUGGUAUACAUGAAUAAUUUAUUUCUGGAUUAGCUACCAAACAUUGUAUAACUUAUACAAAAAUUAAUACAUAAAUAAGUUGGUUCUUUACUAGCUACCAGACGACCACUAUUAUUUUCUUGGUUGAUGUUUCACGAAUACCACAUAGGUAUGGUUUGUGCAGGAAAUGUCACUCAUUAAUAAGUGGAUAGUAUAAAAUAUUAAAGCAGCUUGUUGCAUUAAACUCCUUGUAUAUGCGAGGUUCGGGGAAGGGGCAGAGCACGUUGAGUCUAUUGUGCACCACAUUACUUCGCAUUUCUACAAUUGCGAAACAUUAAAGUGAAAUUAAGAUAUCAGCAGUAUGAAAGAAGGUGAUCAAUAGGAUUAAUAAAUUGCAAAUCACCAUAUUUUGUCCAAUAAUUUGGUUGAAAUAUCCUAGAAUCAUUUUGUUAUCAAAAAAAUAUCUUGGAAUCAUUUUGGCCUAGUGUUCUCAUUCGGGCAGUUCAGAGUAUUCCCUUUUUCACAUCGCCCAAAAAAUUAACUACAACUAAGUUAGUCACAUAUUCACAUUCGAACAGCACAUUGUUUAUUUCUUAUUAUUCUCUAACAUUAAGAAUAUUCUCUUUACCUAACGGGUCCACUCACAAUCCCUAUAUAAGAAUUUCUCUGUAGCCUAAUUGUUGGAGCAAGCUAUUACUUUCUUUUGAUGAUGCAAUUCUAAGUGCAUCUUCAGUUGGUGUUGUCACCUAAUGUCUUAUUCUGCAAGGGGCAAGCUGAAUUAAUAGUGAGAAUCCUUGUCCUUCUAUGCUGAAAACAUGAUGAGCUUCAAGGACUGGGUACUGUCAUAGUUGAUAACCAAGUCGGUAGCCUCAUCAAGACCACUUUUAGCAUCAUAUAACUUCUUAACAGAGGAACAUUCUGAUCAAGAGUUUGGAUCACCUAGCUCACACUGCUGAUUUGGUUACAACAACUACAUUAGCCAAUAUAAUCCAAUCUUCCAAUGGUGAUCAGGAGAAUACAAAUAAUUUCUGAUCACAACCACGGAUGGAUGAAGAUUCUUUUCAGUUGGAUUCUAGGGUUGGUAGAAGCCUAGUCCAGUGGUAAAGAUUGAAGCCCUUCAUAUUAAGUUCUUGUGACUUCUUAAAUGUUUUGGUGUGUCUGAGGACAACCCUUUGGCAUCAAAGCUCUUAUACCAGAUCCAACUGCAUUACUAGAUACGGGAAAGAGAGUCAGAUUUGAAAAGGUCAAACCGUAAAAUUGAGAGAGCUCAUGUAAUAGCAGCAGAAUAAGAAGCUACUGGUCGACCAUAAUUGGAUUUCUCAUUUAAGAUCCUUGUACUGGGUAGAAUUGGAGUUGGCAAGAGUUUAACUAUAAAUUCCAUUUUUGGCCAAUCAAGAGCAACAACCAAGGUGUUCAAGCCUACUACUGACCAUAUUUAAGAGAUUUUGGGAAUGGUAAAUGGAAUUAGAGAAUCUUCUAUUUACACUCCUGGUUAUUGCCUCCCUCAUCCAGUUAUGUCCGAAAAAACAAGAAGAUUUUGCAUUCUGUACAAAAAUUUUAAACGAAACAAAUGCCUGGUAUGGUACUGUAUUUUGAGCAUGUGGAUUUAAUCAACAUGGAUUAGAGUGAUUUCCUUUUGUUAAAGCUUAUAAUGGAAGUAUUUAGUCCUGCAAUUUUUGU
Molecule: long non-coding RNA, 2523 nt
Organism: Capsicum annuum
Lineage: Eukaryota; Viridiplantae; Streptophyta; Magnoliopsida; Solanales; Solanaceae
Exons: 2
Source: RefSeq, a predicted model, not a curated record